Molecule: ribosomal RNA, 301 nt
Filed under: uncultured bacterium
Lineage: Bacteria
Description: partial 16S ribosomal RNA
Rfam family: Bacterial small subunit ribosomal RNA
Source: RNAcentral
CAGCAGCCGCGGUAAUACGGAGGGGGCUAGCGUUGUUCGGAAUUACUGGGCGUAAAGCGCACGUAGGCGGCUUGGUAAGUUAGAGGUGAAAGCCUGGAGCUCAACUCCAGAAUUGCCUUUAAGACUGCCGAGCUAGCAGGUGAGAGAGGUAAGUGGAAUUCCGAGUGUAGAGGUGAAAUUCGUAGAUAUUCGGAAGAACACCAGUGGCGAAGGCGGCUUACUGGCUCAUACUGGACGCUGAGGUGCGAAAGCGUGGGGAGCAAACAGGAUUAGAUACCCCUGUAGUCCCUGUCUCUUAUAA